CAGAGAGUUCUUGACAUCCUUUGACCGCUCUAGAGAUAGAGUUUUCCCUUCCGGGGCAAAAUGAGACGUGGGGCGCGGGUGUCUCCUCCUCUCGUCUCGAGAUAUUGGGUUAUAUCCCCCACCGAGCGCGCCCCUUAUUGUUUUUUGCCCUCUUUCUAUUGGGCACUCUCUCAGGACUGCGCGUGAGACACCGGAGGAAAGGGGGGAUGAGAUCUCAUCUUCUUGCCCCUUAUGAGAUGGGCUACACACGUGCUACAAUGGGAAUUACAAAGAGGGGCGAAAACCCGAGGGGAAACUAAUCUCUUAAAACUUUUCUCACUUCUGAUUGUGGGCUGCGCCUCUCCUGUAUGAAACCGGAAUCUCUAUUAAUCUCGGAUAACCACGCCCCGGUGAAAACAUUCUCCGGUCUUGUGUACACCGAGAGGGGGGGGA
RNAcentral lists this ribosomal RNA (432 nucleotides) under bacterium OM8. Its description in RNAcentral is "partial 16S ribosomal RNA". It matches the Rfam family "Bacterial small subunit ribosomal RNA", at positions 962 to 1384 of the family's 1533-position model. The record is from RNAcentral.